GAAGAGCCCAGCUUGAAAAUCGGAC
RNAcentral lists this small nuclear RNA (25 nucleotides) under Arabidopsis thaliana (thale cress). RNAcentral's name for it is "snRNA_06764". The record is from RNAcentral. Lineage: Eukaryota; Viridiplantae; Streptophyta; Magnoliopsida; Brassicales; Brassicaceae.